UGGGGAAUAUUGGACAAUGGGCGCAAGCCUGAUCCAGCCAUGCCGCGUGAGUGAUGAAGGCCUUAGGGUUGUAAAGCUCUUUUGUCCGGGACGAUAAUGACGGUACCGGAAGAAUAAGCCCCGGCUAACUUCGUGCCAGCAGCCGCGGUAAUACGAAGGGGGCUAGCGUUGCUCGGAAUCACUGGGCGUAAAGGGCGCGUAGGCGGCCAUUCAAGUCGGGGGUGAAAGCCUGUGGCUCAACCACAGAAUUGCCUUCGAUACUGUUUGGCUUGAGUUUGGUAGAGGUUGGUGGAACUGCGAGUGUAGAGGUGAAAUUCGUAGAUAUUCGCAAGAACACCAGUGGCGAAGGCGGCCAACUGGACCAACACUGACGCUGAGGCGCGAAAGCGUGGGGAGCAAACA
RNAcentral lists this ribosomal RNA (402 nucleotides) under uncultured bacterium. RNAcentral describes it as "partial 16S ribosomal RNA". It matches the Rfam family "Bacterial small subunit ribosomal RNA", at positions 355 to 774 of the family's 1533-position model. RNAcentral also lists the same sequence under 1 other name. The record is from RNAcentral.